AUGGGGGAAACCCUGAUCCAGCCAUCCCGCGUGUGCGAUGAAGGCCUUCGGGUUGUAAAGCACUUUUGGCAGGAAAGAAAUCGCACGGGUUAAUACCUUGUGUGGAUGACGGUACCUGCAGAAUAAGCACCGGCUAACUACGUGCCAGCAGCCGCGGUAAUACGUAGGGUGCAAGCGUUAAUCGGAAUUACUGGGCGUAAAGCGUGCGCAGGCGGUUCGGAAAGAAAGGUGUGAAAUCCCAGGGCUUAACCUUGGAACUGCAUUUUUAACUACCGGGCUAGAGUAUGUCAGAGGGGGGUGGAAUUCCGCGUGUAGCAGUGAAAUGCGUAGAUAUGCGGAGGAACACCGAUGGCGAAGGCAGCCCCCUGGGAUAAUACUGACGCUCAUGCACGAAAGCGUGGGGAGCAAACAGGAUUAGAUACCCUGGUAGUCCACGCCCUAAACGAUGUCAACUAGCUGUUGGGGCCUUCGGGCCUUAGUAGCGCAGCUAACGCGUGAAGUUGACCGCCUGGGGAGUA
Molecule: ribosomal RNA, 518 nt
Filed under: uncultured beta proteobacterium
Lineage: Bacteria; Pseudomonadati; Pseudomonadota; Betaproteobacteria
Description: bacterial SSU rRNA
Rfam family: Bacterial small subunit ribosomal RNA
Source: RNAcentral